UCCAGCCCUCACUGAAAGCUAGGAAGGACCAAGCACAUCUCAGAAAAGCACAAGAUGGAUCAACAAGAUGGAUGGCCAGACAUCCUUCAGUCAGUAGCUGAAACCUUAAGCAGUGGUCAGCAUUCUCACUGAAGCUGAGGAAGGUCUGUUUUCUUCCGCAACUGCUAGGCAAAAGGAUAUGGAUCCUGAUCUGUUUGAGUCAGUGGCAUAUUCAAUCAAUUCAGAGGAGGUCAUACAAGUGUUUCUGCAGUACACACAGUAAAUGCUUUAACUAACA
Cyanistes caeruleus (blue tit) is the source of this 277-nucleotide long non-coding RNA. RefSeq lists it as uncharacterized. Lineage: Eukaryota; Metazoa; Chordata; Aves; Passeriformes; Paridae. The record is from RefSeq and is a predicted model, not a curated record.